RNAcentral lists this ribosomal RNA (841 nucleotides) under uncultured Halomonas sp. Its description in RNAcentral is "bacterial SSU rRNA". It matches the Rfam family "Bacterial small subunit ribosomal RNA", at positions 372 to 1204 of the family's 1533-position model. Lineage: Bacteria; Pseudomonadati; Pseudomonadota; Gammaproteobacteria; Oceanospirillales; Halomonadaceae. The record is from RNAcentral.
UGGGGGCACCCUGAUCAGCCAUGCCGCGUGUGUGAAGAAGGCCCUCGGGUUGUAAAGCACUUUCAGCGAGGAAGAACGCCUAGCGGUUAAUACCCGCUAGGAAAGACAUCACUCGCAGAAGAAGCACCGGCUAACUCCGUGCCAGCAGCCGCGGUAAUACGGAGGGUGCAAGCGUUAAUCGGAAUUACUGGGCGUAAAGCGCGCGUAGGUGGCUUGAUAAGCCGGUUGUGAAAGCCCCGGGCUCAACCUGGGAACGGCAUCCGGAACUGUCAAGCUAGAGUGCAGGAGAGGAAGGUAGAAUUCCCGGUGUAGCGGUGAAAUGCGUAGAGAUCGGGAGGAAUACCAGUGGCGAAGGCGGCCUUCUGGACUGACACUGACACUGAGGUGCGAAAGCGUGGGUAGCAAACAGGAUUAGAUACCCUGGUAGUCCACGCCGUAAACGAUGUCGACCAGCCGUUGGGUGCCUAGCGCACUUUGUGGCGAAGUUAACGCGAUAAGUCGACCGCCUGGGGAGUACGGCCGCAAGGUUAAAACUCAAAUGAAUUGACGGGGGCCCGCACAAGCGGUGGAGCAUGUGGUUUAAUUCGAUGCAACGCGAAGAACCUUACCUACUCUUGACAUCCUGCGAAUUUGGUAGAGAUACCUUAGUGCCUUCGGGAACGCAGAGACAGGUGCUGCAUGGCUGUCGUCAGCUCGUGUUGUGAAAUGUUGGGGUUAAGUCCCGUAACGAGCGCAACCCUUGUCCUUAUUUGCCAGCGCGUAAUGGCGGGAACUCUAAGGAGACUGCCGGUGACAAACCGGAGGAAGGUUGGGGGACGACGUCAAGUCAUCAUGGCCCUUA